GGGCGUUUAGCGCAGUGGUAGCGCGUGUGCUUUGCAUGCCUGACCGGUUUGCACAAGGUCCAGGGUUCAAUCCCCUGAACGUCCA
Molecule: non-coding RNA, 85 nt
Organism: Tephrocybe rancida
Lineage: Eukaryota; Fungi; Basidiomycota; Agaricomycetes; Agaricales; Lyophyllaceae
Source: the annotation of a GenBank genome assembly